This 491-nucleotide long non-coding RNA is filed under the name Astyanax mexicanus (Mexican tetra). RNAcentral describes it as "lncRNA (ENSAMXG00005007157.1)". The record is from RNAcentral. Lineage: Eukaryota; Metazoa; Chordata; Actinopteri; Characiformes; Acestrorhamphidae.
AAAAAGGAGAGCCGUUGACACUGGAACCGAGGCCACUGUAUCAAUGGGGCCGAUUUAUACUGCUGCUGAUUCCGCUGUCCCGACUGCAUCUGCCUAUGUGGGUGGUAAUGGACAUUCUGCUCAAGAACAGGACCGGGUAACUGGAGCAGUAGUAGGGGCUGUAUUUGCCACAGCGGGGGCAGUACUACUGGUUGUGGCUGGAUGGUUUGUGGUGAAGAAGGUGUACUGGAUUGGUGGAAUGCCUCACGUCUUCAAAUAAAGGACCCACAGCCUGCCAUCUGCUGCCUGCUGAAGUAGAAUAAUUUGAUCUGUCUGAUAAGGCGGCUCAAGGUAUCAUAGCGCCAAUAAUGGACUGCCAGGAAUAUUGCUCUAGAAGAAGCUACACUAUCAAGAGUUCAAGAGUUUUAAUAGAUGUUUCAUGGUUGCAUAAAAAUGGAUUUGUCCUGUUAAAAUUCCAAAAACAGGUUUUAAAUACAUUGGUUUGAUCAUUU